CACACACAUACUCCUCACCACUCCUGCAGCACAACACGUCGAUAAAAGCUAGAGAAUCUGAGUUUCUUUUUUUUUGUCAAUAUAAGAACCUUGACAGAGUUGAAGAAAUAUAAAAAGAAGACACGUUCAUCACGAGCGACGUGACUCAUCAUCAAACGGCGGUAUUAAAUGAAUAUCAUAAACAGAGCCCUCCCUCCCUCCCUCCCUCGCUCGCAUCUCAUUAAGCGAGUCCCGCUGUAGCUAUAGGUGAAGCCGCCUCUCUCUGCCAUACUGAAGCAGGUGUCCAACAUGGCGAACACUGGCAGCGGCUCUCUCGCGACUAUUCUCUUUUUAUUCAUGUUUCAAGCGGCUCUUCACAAAGGUAAGUUCCUCUUCGUCCAUCCUGAAACAAGCACCUCUCACCUCACUGGCCGUCACUGAAUGCCCCCAGGAGAUAGCGGGUACUGUGGUGAUUCAUUGGUAGUGUUUCUGGUUAAAAAUAUUCCUCCUCCUCCUUCUUCCUCUGCCCCACUUCCCUCUGACUGUCAGAGGAAAUGAAGCCGGCUCCUGUUCAACACUAAACCAGACCAGAAAUGGGGCUCUGUAAGCUUGUAUCAUUUUAAUGUCCCCUAACUCCUCCUAGGCAUGGAAUAUGUGUUCGGGUUGGCUUGAAAUGUGACGGAGUGGCCUCAAUGAUGUCAUGGCUACAGGGAAAAGCUGGUGUGUGCCGCGGUGGACAGCCACGAAAGGACAACAGUGGUCUUUAGAGGGUUGCAGUG
RNAcentral lists this long non-coding RNA (758 nucleotides) under Sparus aurata (gilthead seabream). RNAcentral describes it as "lncRNA (ENSSAUG00010012969.1)". The record is from RNAcentral. Lineage: Eukaryota; Metazoa; Chordata; Actinopteri; Spariformes; Sparidae.